RNAcentral lists this non-coding RNA (148 nucleotides) under Pan troglodytes (chimpanzee). Lineage: Eukaryota; Metazoa; Chordata; Mammalia; Primates; Hominidae. The record is from Rfam by way of RNAcentral.
GCCGGGUGUGGUGUCGCACACCUGUAAUCCCAGCUUAUCCAGAGGCUGAGGCAGGAGAAUCACUUGAACCCGGGAGGUGGAGGUUGCAGUGAGUCAAGAUGGUACCACUGCACUCCAUCCUGGGUGACAGAGUGAAACCCUGUCUCCA